RNAcentral lists this unclassified non-coding RNA (861 nucleotides) under Hevea brasiliensis (rubber tree). The record is from RNAcentral. Lineage: Eukaryota; Viridiplantae; Streptophyta; Magnoliopsida; Malpighiales; Euphorbiaceae.
UAUUAUGACUUGUAUGGAUGCUGUCGGGGAGGGUGGAGUAUGCAGUGUAUACUUGGUCUUACUCUUUCGUAGGCCUUCCAAGUUUGGCUGUCUACUUAAGACUCAUAUAUUUGGCAUUUUUGUUUAAAGCUCUUCCUAUGCCUACCUAUUAUUCAUUACAUUUUCUAUUUGCAGGUUGGUGAAUUAACAGCUCUAUUAACAUCUGAUCUGGGUUCUCUCAAAAAUAUUGUCAGUGAGAAUACUUCACGGGAUCGUGGUUUUAGGGCACUAUCAGAGGUGGUGGGAACAUUAUCCUUAUUGUUUGCUCUAUCUCCCCAACUUGCACCAAUUCUGGGCUUGCUCAUCCUCGCAGUGUCUAUUUUAGUUGCUCUGUUCAAGAGGUCAACUGUAAAUGUCUUCCAAGCUCAUGGACUGGUCCAAGCAUCAAUAGCUGAUUCUGUGACUGAAUCAUUUUCUGCCAUUCGCACUGUGAGGUCAUUUAGUGGGGAGAAGCGUCAGAUGUCAGUAUUUGCUCGCCAGGUACUUGAGUUUGAGAGUAGUAGCAUAAAGAUUGGGACCUUCAAAUCCUUCCAUGAGUCAGUGACGAGAGUGGCAAUUUAUAUCUCGUUGAUGGCUUUAUAUUGCCUUGGUGGAAGCAAAGUAAAGGCAGGUGAAUUAUCAGUGGGAAUUAUGGCUUCAUUUAUCGGAUAUACAUUUACAUUAACUUUCGCAGUUCAAGGCCUUGUAAAUACCUUUGGAGACCUUCGUGCAGCUCUUGCAGCAACUGAGAGAAUUAACUCAGUUUUAUCCGAUGCUGAAAUUGAUGAAGCGCUUGCAUGUUCUUUAGAGAAAGACAUGAAGCAGAAGAAGGUCCAUGAUGAG